RNAcentral lists this transfer RNA (76 nucleotides) under Plantactinospora alkalitolerans. RNAcentral's name for it is "Plantactinospora sp. S1510 tRNA-Asp". It matches the Rfam family "tRNA". From Rfam's summary of the family: Transfer RNA (tRNA) molecules are approximately 80 nucleotides in length. Their secondary structure includes four short double-helical elements and three loops (D, anti-codon, and T loops). Lineage: Bacteria; Bacillati; Actinomycetota; Actinomycetes; Micromonosporales; Micromonosporaceae. The record is from RNAcentral.
GGUGGCGUCGCCCAGUCAGGUCCAGGGCGCUUCCCUGUCAAGGAAGAGGGCGCGGGUUCGAAUCCCGCCGUCACCG